Molecule: long non-coding RNA, 1779 nt
Organism: Prunus dulcis (almond)
Lineage: Eukaryota; Viridiplantae; Streptophyta; Magnoliopsida; Rosales; Rosaceae
Exons: 4
Source: RefSeq, a predicted model, not a curated record
UUUUACGCUGUAGCAUCUCUCCCUCUCAACCCUAAUUCCUCAUCUCAUUUGAGAUUUUUUUCAGAAACAGAAAGCUCCCACUCUUCUAUCACUUGCUUUCUCAGUCAGAGACAUUUCAAAUUUACUUAGGGUUGGAUUUCUCAUCUCUCUCUUUGAGUUCGAUUCCUUCCACAACAGCUCCUCUCCUUCUCCUGUAACGAAGAGACGAUGCCGGCAACCACAUCUCCUUUCCUCACAGGUUUUCACAGUUAUGAUUCCUUUGUCUCACUCUCAUCUGGAUCUCUGUGGCUGGCUUUAUCUCAACCUCUCUAUGGCAGAUAGAUCGUUGCUACUUUCUUACUUUUUUUAUUAUUUGAAUUUGAGGGUUGGAAGCUUGUGAGUUGUUCAUUCUUGAUAAUGAUACGGGACUUUAAAUUGAUGGCCUUCAGACUGCAUAUCGUUCAAACAUUGGGUUCUUGAAGGAAGAUGCUAGAUGAUGGAGCAUCCAUUUCAGCCUUGAAGAGAUAUUGCAGGUUUCUGUUUUGUAAGCUGUGUGUAUUCUAUGUUUGAUAACUUGAAAUUUUGUGUAGUAUGUUUACUUGAGAUCUUAAUGUUAAAAUAAUGAUCUAGAACUUGAGAUAGGAUUGAGACAUUUAUUGUCCUCCAUGACAAUGGAGCAAAUUGGUGUACAUUACAACCCAUUAGAUCCAUGACUUCUUAUAAUGGAUUAUUUUUGUGCUUGAGAUAAUUUAGUCCGAAUUGUAGAGUAAUAUCUUUAGUUUAUAAUCUAAAUUAGUUCUGAUUUUUCAGUGAACAAUUCAAAAUUUGGUAUGGAUGUCCUUCUUGGUGGGUUUUCUAACAUUUCUUUAAAUACAAUUGCAUACGAAUGACGUUGCUGUGAAAAAAGUGAAAAAAGUAACAUGUUGAUACAAUGUUGUUUCGUGAUGAACUGGAAAUACACAAAGAUUUGAUUCACUCUAGUAGGCUUAGUUGCGUAGAUAUUUGAAGAAUUAAGUCAGCAUGCUAGUAAUUGCUAUUGGCUCAUGGCUGAUUGUGUCUUGGUGUGACUUUUUCUAUCAUCCAAAGUUGGAGGUCCUAUCCUUGCUAGUUGUUUGGGAACACAGAGACGUGAAGAUGAAUAUGCACUUUGGGUUUCCCUUGUCCGAUGGUUCGCUGAUCAUCACAAGUGUUUUGAUUUGCUUUCUGGUUCGUUCAAUGUAUAGUAAAAUAUCGCUAUAUAAUUUAUUUCCUCUUCUUUUGCAGCGGGAGUAGCUAUUUUCAUUUUACUGAUAUCAUUUUACUCAACUCGUGAAGUACAAGGAGUCACAGAGGCAGAAAAAUUCGGCGAUUCAUAUCUUUUGUGGCUAAUGAGUUGGUGAUGUGUGUUUUAUUGUGAAUGGUAGUUUGAGUAUGUCAUGUCAAGUUGGCUACAUAAGAAAUACACAAAUUCCUGGGAAGAAUACGAUUUCUUGAAUUGUUUAUUAGGAGUAGGAUGUGUUUACUUGAUUGUCGACAUUAUAUUUAGUUUUUCAUAAAUGCAUUAGAAUGGUUAAAAGCACUACAAAUUCUAUUGUUUUUACUUUUAGGUACUGAAAGCAUGGAAGAGAAGAAAAAUGAAAUGACAGAGGUCGUUUGGCAAUUACCAUUCAGACGAUUGGCUUUCACAAAUUAGAAUGGCAAUUACAUAGUGCCUAUUUGUCAAUUGCCAACAUGACUUGGCUGUGUUGUAACAAAAUAAAGGAAUUUUAUAUGAGUUUGGUGACGUAAGGCAUGGGUUGAAUUGAAGAUGGGAGUUUAGUA